Non-coding RNA from Caenorhabditis elegans, 128 nucleotides. NCBI's taxonomy places the organism in Eukaryota, Metazoa, Nematoda, Chromadorea, Rhabditida, Rhabditidae. The record is from Ensembl.
CUAAUAAAUCAUCGUCACGUCCUUGAAGGGGUGGGCGCCCGAGUGAUUUGUGUAAGGCGAGAUAAAGCCCCCUGGUUUGCUUUUGUCGGGUCGACUCCUUUCAUCUACUCUUUUAUCCAAACUUUCCC